AUCCAGCUGACGAGUCUCAAAUGGGACGAAACGCGCGUCAAACUGGAU
Schistosoma mansoni is the source of this 48-nucleotide non-coding RNA. NCBI's taxonomy places the organism in Eukaryota, Metazoa, Platyhelminthes, Trematoda, Strigeidida, Schistosomatidae. The record is from Rfam.